CCUACGGGGGGCUGCAGUGGGGAAUAUUGCACAAUGGGCGCAAGCCUGAUGCAGCCAUGCCGCGUGUGUGAAGAAGGCCUUCGGGUUGUAAAGCACUUUCAGCGGGGAGGAAGGCGUUAAGGUUAAUAACCUUGGCGAUUGACGUUACCCGCAGAAGAAGCACCGGCUAACUCCGUGCCAGCAGCCGCGGUAAUACGGAGGGUGCAAGCGUUAAUCGGAAUUACUGGGCGUAAAGCGCACGCAGGCGGUCUGUCAAGUCGGAUGUGAAAUCCCCGGGCUCAACCUGGGAACUGCAUUCGAAACUGGCAGGCUAGAGUCUUGUAGAGGGGGUUAGAAUUCCAGGGGUAGCGGUGAAAUGCGUAGAGAUCUGAGGAAUACCGGUGGCGAAGGCGGCCCCCUGGACAAAGACUGACGCUCAGGUGCGAAAGCGUGGGGAGCAAGCAGGAUUAGAUACCCCUGUAGUC
RNAcentral lists this ribosomal RNA (464 nucleotides) under uncultured Klebsiella sp. RNAcentral describes it as "bacterial SSU rRNA". It matches the Rfam family "Bacterial small subunit ribosomal RNA", at positions 338 to 795 of the family's 1533-position model. Lineage: Bacteria; Pseudomonadati; Pseudomonadota; Gammaproteobacteria; Enterobacterales; Enterobacteriaceae. The record is from RNAcentral.